Molecule: ribosomal RNA, 253 nt
Filed under: uncultured bacterium
Lineage: Bacteria
Description: partial 16S ribosomal RNA
Rfam family: Bacterial small subunit ribosomal RNA
Source: RNAcentral
GACAGAGGGUGCAAACGUUGCUCGGAAUUACUGGGCGUAAAGCGCGUGUAGGUGGAUUGGUGUGUCAGAUGUGAAAUCCCUGGGCUCAACCCAGGAACUGCACCUGAAACUACCAGUCUUGAGUGGUGGAGAGGGAAGUGGAAUUCCUGGUGUAGAGGUGAAAUUCGUAGAUAUCGGGAGGAACACCAGAGGCGAAGGCGGCCACCUGGACAGACACUGACGCUGAGACGCGAAAGCGUGGGGAGCAAACAGG